GGUUAAGCGACUAAGCGUACACGGUGGAUGCCCUGGCAGUCAGAGGCGAUGAAGGACGUGCUAAUCUGCGAUAAGCGUCGGUGAGGUGAUAUGAACCGUUAUAACCGGCGAUUUCCGAAUGGGGAAACCCAGUGUGAUUCGUCACACUAUCAUUAACUGAAUCCAUAGGUUAAUGAGGCGAACCGGGGGAACUGAAACAUCUAAGUACCCACACUAUCAUUAACUGAAUCCAUAGGUUAAUGAGGCGAACCGGGGGAACUGAAACAUCUAAGUACCCCGAGGAAAAGAAAUCAACCGAGAUUCCCCCAGUAGCGGCGAGCGAACGGGGAGGAGCCCAGAGCCUGAAUCAGUGUGUGUGUUAGUGGAAGCGUCUGGAAAGGCGCGCGAUACAGGGUGACAGCCCCGUACACAAAAAUGCACAUACUGUGAGCUCGAUGAGUAGGGCGGGACACGUGGUAUCCUGUCUGAAUAUGGGGGGACCAUCCUCCAAGGCUAAAUACUCCUGACUGACCGAUAGUGAACCAGUACCGUGAGGGAAAGGCGAAAAGAACCCCGGCGAGGGGAGUGAAAAAGAACCUGAAACCGUGUACGUACAAGCAGUGGGAGCCUCUUUAUGGGGUGACUGCGUACCUUUUGUAUAAUGGGUCAGCGACUUAUAUUCUGUAGCAAGGUUAACCGAAUAGGGGAGCCGAAGGGAAACCGAGUCUUAACUGGGCGUUAAGUUGCAGGGUAUAGACCCGAAACCCGGUGAUCUAGCCAUGGGCAGGUUGAAGGUUGGGUAACACUAACUGGAGGACCGAACCGACUAAUGUUGAAAAAUUAGCGGAUGACUUGUGGCUGGGGGUGAAAGGCCAAUCAAACCGGGAGAUAGCUGGUUCUCCCCGAAAGCUAUUUAGGUAGCGCCUCGUGAAUUCAUCUCCGGGGGUAGAGCACUGUUUCGGCAAGGGGGUCAUCCCGACUUACCAACCCGAUGCAAACUGCGAAUACCGGAGAAUGUUAUCACGGGAGACACACGGCGGGUGCUAACGUCCGUCGUGAAGAGGGAAACAACCCAGACCGCCAGCUAAGGUCCCAAAGUCAUGGUUAAGUGGGAAACGAUGUGGGAAGGCCCAGACAGCCAGGAUGUUGGCUUAGAAGCAGCCAUCAUUUAAAGAAAGCGUAAUAGCUCACUGGUCGAGUCGGCCUGCGCGGAAGAUGUAACGGGGCUAAACCAUGCACCGAAGCUGCGGCAGCGACACUGUGUGUUGUUGGGUAGGGGAGCGUUCUGUAAGCCUGUGAAGGUGUGCUGUGAGGCAUGCUGGAGGUAUCAGAAGUGCGAAUGCUGACAUAAGUAACGAUAAAGCGGGUGAAAAGCCCGCUCGCCGGAAGACCAAGGGUUCCUGUCCAACGUUAAUCGGGGCAGGGUGAGUCGACCCCUAAGGCGAGGCCGAAAGGCGUAGUCGAUGGGAAACAGGUUAAUAUUCCUGUACUUGGUGUUACUGCGAAGGGGGGACGGAGAAGGCUAUGUUGGCCGGGCGACGGUUGUCCCGGUUUAAGCGUGUAGGCUGGUUUUCCAGGCAAAUCCGGAAAAUCAAGGCUGAGGCGUGAUGACGAGGCACUACGGUGCUGAAGCAACAAAUGCCCUGCUUCCAGGAAAAGCCUCUAAGCAUCAGGUAACAUUAAAUCGUACCCCAAACCGACACAGGUGGUCAGGUAGAGAAUACCAAGGCGCUUGAGAGAACUCGGGUGAAGGAACUAGGCAAAAUGGUGCCGUAACUUCGGGAGAAGGCACGCUGAUAUGUAGGUGAAGCGACUUGCUCGUGGAGCUGAAAUCAGUCGAAGAUACCAGCUGGCUGCAACUGUUUAUUAAAAACACAGCACUGUGCAAACACGAAAGUGGACGUAUACGGUGUGACGCCUGCCCGGUGCCGGAAGGUUAAUUGAUGGGGUUAGCGGUAACGCGAAGCUCUUGAUCGAAGCCCCGGUAAACGGCGGCCGUAACUAUAACGGUCCUAAGGUAGCGAAAUUCCUUGUCGGGUAAGUUCCGACCUGCACGAAUGGCGUAAUGAUGGCCAGGCUGUCUCCACCCGAGACUCAGUGAAAUUGAACUCGCUGUGAAGAUGCAGUGUACCCGCGGCAAGACGGAAAGACCCCGUGAACCUUUACUAUAGCUUGACACUGAACAUUGAGCCUUGAUGUGUAGGAUAGGUGGGAGGCUUUGAAGUGUGGACGCCAGUCUGCAUGGAGCCGGCCUUGAAAUACCACCCUUUAAUGUUUGAUGUUCUAACGUUGGCCCCUGACCGGGGUUGCGGACAGUGUCUGGUGGGUAGUUUGACUGGGGCGGUCUCCUCCUAAAGAGUAACGGAGGAGCACGAAGGUUGGCUAAUCCUGGUCGGACAUCAGGAGGUUAGUGCAAUGGCAUAAGCCAGCUUGACUGCGAGCGUGACGGCGCGAGCAGGUGCGAAAGCAGGUCAUAGUGAUCCGGUGGUUCUGAAUGGAAGGGCCAUCGCUCAACGGAUAAAAGGUACUCCGGGGAUAACAGGCUGAUACCGCCCAAGAGUUCAUAUCGACGGCGGUGUUUGGCACCUCGAUGUCGGCUCAUCACAUCCUGGGGCUGAAGUAGGUCCCAAGGGUAUGGCUGUUCGCCAUUUAAAGUGGUACGCGAGCUGGGUUUAGAACGUCGUGAGACAGUUCGGUCCCUAUCUGCCGUGGGCGCUGGAGAACUGAGGGGGGCUGCUCCUAGUACGAGAGGACCGGAGUGGACGCAUCACUGGUGUUCGGGUUGUCAUGCCAAUGGCACUGCCCGGUAGCUAAAUGCGGAAGAGAUAAGUGCUGAAAGCAUCUAAGCACGAAACUUGCCCCGAGAUGAGUUCUCCCUGACUCCUUGAGAGUCCUGAAGGAACGUUGAAGACGACGACGUUGAUAGGCCGGGUGUGUAAGCGCAGCGAUGCGUUGAGCUAACCGGUACUAAUGAACCGUGAGGCUUAACCUU
Molecule: ribosomal RNA, 2971 nt
Filed under: Escherichia coli
Lineage: Bacteria; Pseudomonadati; Pseudomonadota; Gammaproteobacteria; Enterobacterales; Enterobacteriaceae
Description: 23S ribosomal RNA
Rfam family: Bacterial large subunit ribosomal RNA
Source: RNAcentral